GCCUCUCCCUCCUUCCCUACAGAGAGGUCUGAGACUCUCCCUCCUCCCCUACAGAGAGGUCGGAGCCUCCCCCAGUCCUCCAGCAGGAGAGGAGGAGAGACUCACACUACUACUACUACUACUGAGAACCAUCCCACACAAACCAAGCCAGAGAGAGAGCAAACUAGGUCUCCCUCUCUCCCUUUGGCUUGCCUCCUCCCUCCACUCCUCCCCGCCUCCCUCCACUCCUCCCCGCCUCCCUCCACUCCUCCUUGUCUGCCUCCCUCCACUCCUCCCUCCCUCCACUCCUCCUUGUCUGCCUCCCUCCACUCCUCCCUGUCUGCCUCACUCCACUCCUCCCUCCCUCCACUCCUCGUCUGCCUCCUUCCACUCCUCCCUCCCUCCACUCCUCCCUGUCUGCCUCCCUCCACUCCUCCUUGUCUGCCUCCCUCCACUCCUCCCUGUCUGCCUCCCUCCCGUCUGCCUCCUUCCACUCCUCCCUCGUCUGCCUCCCUCCCUCCACUCCUCCUUGUCUGCCUCCCUCCACUCCUCCCUGUCUGCCUCCCUCCACUCCUCCCUGUCUGCCUCCCUCCACUCCUCCCUGUCUGCCUCCCUCCACUCCUCCCUCCACUCCUCCCUGUCUGCCUCCCUCCACUCCUCCCUCCCUCCACUCCUCCCUGUCUGCCUCCCUCCACUCCUCCUUGUCUGCCUCCCUCCACUCCUCCCUGUCUGCCUCCCUCCCGUCUGCCUCCCUCCACUCCUCCCUCGUCUGCCUCCCUCCACUCCUCCCUAACCUCCACUCCUCCUUGUCUGCCUCCCUCCCGCCACUCCUCCCUCCCUCCACACCUCCGGUCUGCCUCCCUCCACUCCUCCCGUCUGCCUCCCUCCACUCCUCCUUGUCUGCCUCCCUCCUGCCACUCCUCCCUCCCACCACUCCUCCCUCCACACCUCCCUCCUCGCCUCCCUCCACUCCACCUUGUCUGCCUCCCUCCACUCCUCCUUGUCUGCCUCCCUCCCGCCACUCCUCCCUCCCUCCACACCUCCGGUCUGCCUCCCUCCACUCCUCCGGUCUGCCUCCCUCUACUCCUCCCGUCUGCCUCCCUCCACUCCUCCUUGUCUGCCUCCCUCCCGCCACUCCUCCCUCCACACCUCCCUCCUCGCCUCCCUCCCUCCCUCCACUCCACCUUGUCUGCAUCCCUCCACUCCUCCCUCCACACCUCCCACUACUCCUCCCUCCACUCCUACCAAACAAAACAAUAA
Long non-coding RNA from Oncorhynchus mykiss (rainbow trout), 1239 nucleotides. The record is from Ensembl. NCBI's taxonomy places the organism in Eukaryota, Metazoa, Chordata, Actinopteri, Salmoniformes, Salmonidae.